AAAGGCAAUAAUACUCUAUCAGUUGCUUUGGUUCUGAUCCUGGGAUAUAGUAAUAUCUUAAAGUGAUAAACACAAUGGUUUCUUCACCUUUGGAUAUCUACUUCACAAGUCAAUACAUGUGUCCCUUUUGUGAUUUUAUGACACAUUCAUUAUAAGGGUUAUGAAAGUGAUUUCCUAUCACAUAGGAAAAUGCUUUCUUAAAUCUUCAACAUUUGAGAUUUAAUUCCCAUAUAACAUUAUUUGAGAUAGCCUUGCUAUAUCAAUAAGUCCAAUUUCAAGUUUAUACUUCAAAAUUGACCGUGUCAUGUUUUUUCAUUUUCGAGUAACAUCUAUGUUUCAUCAAGUCUAUCAAAUAGACUUUAUUCACAUCAUGUUGCUCAAAUUAUGACAUCACUCCCACUGGCCUUGUUGUAACUUAGCAUUCAUUCAAAAAUAACAAUUAGAUUUUCUAGAUUUGAAUGCAUAUUGCUCCCACUAACUUGUCUUGGAUCCAUUG
RNAcentral lists this long non-coding RNA (496 nucleotides) under Malus domestica (apple). Its description in RNAcentral is "long non-coding RNA (MDOM_LNC018072)". The record is from RNAcentral. Lineage: Eukaryota; Viridiplantae; Streptophyta; Magnoliopsida; Rosales; Rosaceae.